AACGAACGCUGGCGGCAGGCCUAACACAUGCCAGUCGAGCGAGCAUUUCGGUGCUAGCGGCGGACGGGUGAGUAACGCGUGGGAACGUGCCCUUUUCUGCGGAAUAGUCCUGGGAAACUGGGGGUAAUACCGCAUACGCCCUUUUGGGGAAAGAUUUAUCGGAGAAGGAUCGGCCCCGUUGGAUUAGGUAGUUGGUUGGGUAAUGGCCCACCAAGCCGACGAUCCAUAGCUGGUUUGAGAGGAUGAUCAGCCACACUGGGACUGAGACACGGCCCAGACUCCUACGGGAGGCAGCAGUGGGGAAUCUUAGACAAUGGGGGCAACCCUGAUCGAGCCAUGCCGCGUGAGUGAUGAAGGCCUUAGGGUUGUAAAGCUCUUUCAGCUGGGAAGAUAAUGACGGUACCAGCAGAAGAAGCCCCGGCUAACUCCGUG
Molecule: ribosomal RNA, 432 nt
Filed under: uncultured bacterium
Lineage: Bacteria
Description: partial 16S ribosomal RNA
Rfam family: Bacterial small subunit ribosomal RNA
Source: RNAcentral